AGCGAACGCUGGCGGCAGGCCUAAUACAUGCAAGUCGAACGCACCUUCGGGUGAGUGGCGGACGGGUGAGUAACGCGUGGGAACGUGCCCUUUGGUUCGGAACAACACAGGGAAACUUGUGCUAAUACCGAAUGUGCCCUUCGGGGGAAAGAUUUAUCGCCAUUGGAGCGGCCCGCGUUGGAUUAGGUAGUUGGUGAGGUAAAGGCUCACCAAGCCUACGAUCCAUAGCUGGUCUGAGAGGAUGAUCAGCCAACACUGGGACUGAGACACGGCCCAGACUCCUACGGGAGGCAGCAGUAGGGAAUCUUGCGCAAUGGGCGAAANCCUGACGCAGCCAUGCCGCGUGAAUGAUGAAGGUCUUAGGAUUGUAAAAUUCUUUCACC
This 383-nucleotide ribosomal RNA is filed under the name uncultured bacterium. RNAcentral describes it as "bacterial SSU rRNA". It matches the Rfam family "Bacterial small subunit ribosomal RNA", at positions 29 to 440 of the family's 1533-position model. The record is from RNAcentral.